Paramuricea clavata is the source of this 278-nucleotide non-coding RNA. Lineage: Eukaryota; Metazoa; Cnidaria; Anthozoa; Malacalcyonacea; Plexauridae. The record is from the annotation of a GenBank genome assembly.
CCACACUGAUCUUUUUAAUAGUAAUUUAGUUUUUCAAUGAAUAAGUUAUAUUUCUAAAUUUUACAGCAAUUUUAGCGAGGUUCAUUAAUAUUUAUUGUUUGAAAAUGGCUGCAAAAAUAGUUUUAAAAGACGUGCAAGAAGCGAGCAAGAGAAUUGCACCGUAUAUCCACCGCACGCCUAUAAUGACUUGUUCAACUCUGGAUAGGAUGGCUGGGAAAUCACUGUUCUUUAAAUGUGAAAUAUUUCAAAAGGUUGGCGCGUUUAAGGUGAGAAUUGCA